This 344-nucleotide unclassified non-coding RNA is filed under the name soil metagenome. RNAcentral describes it as "partial contains 5.8S ribosomal RNA, internal transcribed spacer 2, and large subunit ribosomal RNA". The stretch from base 1 to 120 matches the Rfam family "5.8S ribosomal RNA", at positions 35 to 154 of the family's 154-position model. The record is from RNAcentral.
GAUGAAGAACGUAGCGAAAUGCGAUAAGUAAUGUGAAUUGCAGAAUUCAGUGAAUCAUCGAAUCUUUGAACGCACAUUGCGCCCCUUGGUAUUCCGAGGGGCAUGCCUGUUCGAGCGUCAUUACACCACUCAAGCACUGCUUGGUAUUGGGCACUCGUCCGUCGAAAGACGGGCGUGCCUCGUAGACCUCGGCGGGGUUUCUCCAACUUCGGGCGUAGUAGAGUUAAAUCAAAACGUCUUAUAAGCUUGGUGAGAUCUCAUUGCCGUUAAACCUUUUUUUUUCAGGUUGACCUCGGAUCAGGUAGGGAUACCCGCUGAACUUAAGCAUAUCAAUAAGCGGAGGA